RNAcentral lists this transfer RNA (74 nucleotides) under Semibalanus balanoides (northern acorn barnacle). Its description in RNAcentral is "transfer RNA-Leu". It matches the Rfam family "tRNA". From Rfam's summary of the family: Transfer RNA (tRNA) molecules are approximately 80 nucleotides in length. Their secondary structure includes four short double-helical elements and three loops (D, anti-codon, and T loops). Further hydrogen bonds mediate the characteristic L-shaped molecular structure. tRNAs have two regions of fundamental functional importance: the anti-codon, which is responsible for specific mRNA codon recognition, and the 3' end, to which the tRNAs corresponding amino acid is attached (by aminoacyl-tRNA synthetases). tRNAs cope with the degeneracy of the genetic code in two manners: having more than one tRNA (with a specific anti-codon) for a particular amino acid; and 'wobble' base-pairing, i.e. permitting non-standard base-pairing at the 3rd anti-codon position. Lineage: Eukaryota; Metazoa; Arthropoda; Thecostraca; Balanomorpha; Balanidae. The record is from RNAcentral.
GUUCUGAUGUGGCAGAUUAGUGCUAUAGAUUUAAGAUCUAUCCAUAAAGGUUUAAAUCCUUUUUUCAGAAAAAA